This 33-nucleotide unclassified non-coding RNA is filed under the name Severe acute respiratory syndrome coronavirus 2. RNAcentral describes it as "Primer from Severe acute respiratory syndrome coronavirus 2 (PDB 7CYQ, chain I)". Lineage: Riboviria; Orthornavirae; Pisuviricota; Pisoniviricetes; Nidovirales; Coronaviridae. The record is from RNAcentral.
CAUGCUACGCGGUAGUAGCAUGCUAGGGAGCAG